Molecule: long non-coding RNA, 319 nt
Filed under: Phaseolus vulgaris (common bean)
Lineage: Eukaryota; Viridiplantae; Streptophyta; Magnoliopsida; Fabales; Fabaceae
Description: long non-coding RNA (PVUL_LNC002619)
Source: RNAcentral
UAGGUAAUCAUGUGAAUGCUAUAAGAGUUUAGACAAUCAUUGUUAUCGCAAUCAAAUGAUUUCUAUAAUACAAGAGUGAAAGAAAAGAGAUUUUGUCUUACAUAGCACUGUUUGUGUUUUUAUUUCCCCGUACGGUACAAUACAUCCAAUAUUUAGCAGUGGCACACUUUUGCAUACAAAUCAGAAUUUAGUUUGUAGACAACCUUGGAUUAUCUGAGCUGCACUCGAAAAUCAUUCAGAAUUUGGGUUUUAGAGAAUCGAAUUUUGAGCUGGAUUUUUUUUUAUUUUUUUACGUUUUGAUUUAUUAAAUAAUAUGAAA